UAACUGUGCUUCAUCUGGAGGUGGAUAAAUAACACGGAUGUUGUGUGGAUAGCAGAAAGCAUUAAGGACUUAGCGAGAGGAGCCACAGCUGAUAUGAGUCGCCAGAUGAACAGACUUAAGGGCGAGUUGAGAGACAUACCCAAGAAAUAUAUGAGGAACUCCUUUACAGAUGAGAGAUAUAUCAGGAAAUAGAUGAUUAUAUACGAUACUGUGAUAUAGAUGAAAUAUAUAUGAAUGAGACAGAAAAAACCCAGUGAAGUAGACCCUAUCAGUGACCCUUACGAGGCUAAAUAUAUACGUGAAAUAUAUCCAGUGAGGGAAUAGAUGUGUUUCCCCCCUACCAAUGACAUAGAAAACGCAGUGGUGUGAAGAAAUAUAUCUAAGCAGUUGUAAACAUAUUGUGACGUGGUACAGCAUUUGUGUUUGAUAAAUAUUAAGAAAAAAUUGAAAAAACAAUGUAAAUAUUGUUACUAAAAUGACUCACUGACUGAAGUAUAUUAACAACAGAAAAGAGAGUCUAGUUCGAGUGACUGUGAUAUAUAUUGAAAAGGAUUAAUUUAUAGAUAUUGUGAAUGUUAUUUUGAGGUUCAUGCUGCCUAAAACAUAAUAAUUAAUGCAAACUAAGCAAAAGGUUGAAGAAAAUGACCUCGGUAGUUAUAGGUCAGAUGAACGUAAAGUGAACGACCUUGAAUAAAUGACCUCUAGUUAUAGGUCAGAUGAACGUAAAGUGAACGACCUUGAAUAAAUGACCUCAGUAGUUAUAGGUCAGGUCAACGUAAAGUGAACGACCUUGAAUAAAUGACCUCAGUAGUUAUAGGUCAGGUCAACGUAAAGUGAACGACCUUGAAUAAAUGACCUCAGUAGUUAUAGGUCAGGUCAACGUAAAGUGAACGACCUUGAAUAAAUGACCUCAGUAGUUAUAGGUCAGGUCAACGUAAAGUGAACGACCUUGAAUAAAUGACCUCAGCAGUUAUAGGUCAGGUCAACGUAUAGCAAGUGACAAGUACAGGCUCAUUUCUCGUAUUAGAUUGGCGGUGUGACCUACCUACCGCCUAUCAUGGGUGGCACAACUCAUUUACCAGUUAGUCUCCAACACCCUCCACGCCCACGACACCACCACCGCCGCCCACAGCCACCCAGCAGCCAGCAGCAGGACGUGGGGAUGGACCUGUCUACACUGACGGAGAGUGAGAGGGGCGCCAUACUGGCUGUACUGGAGAGGGAUGACCACCUCAGACACGCCGACCAACAGCGGAUCUA
Long non-coding RNA from Homarus americanus (American lobster), 1260 nucleotides. RefSeq lists it as uncharacterized. The record is from RefSeq and is a predicted model, not a curated record. Lineage: Eukaryota; Metazoa; Arthropoda; Malacostraca; Decapoda; Nephropidae. The transcript has 3 exons.